RNAcentral lists this ribosomal RNA (468 nucleotides) under uncultured bacterium. Its description in RNAcentral is "partial 16S ribosomal RNA". It matches the Rfam family "Bacterial small subunit ribosomal RNA", at positions 28 to 507 of the family's 1533-position model. The record is from RNAcentral.
GAUGAACGCUGACAGAAUGCUUAACACAUGCAAGUCUACUUGAAUUUGGGUUUUUUAACUUAGAUUUGGGUGGCGGACGGGUGAGUAACGCGUAAAGAACUUGCCUCACAGCUAGGGACAACAUUUGGAAACGAAUGCUAAUACCUGAUAUUAUGAUUAUAAGGCAUCUUAGAAUUAUGAAAGCUAUAUGCGCUGUGAGAGAGCUUUGCGUCCCAUUAGCUAGUUGGAGAGGUAACGGCUCACCAAGGCGAUGAUGGGUAGCCGGCCUGAGAGGGUGAACGGCCACAAGGGGACUGAGACAAGGCCCUUACUCCUACGGGAGGCAGCAGUGGGGAAUAUUGGACAAUGGACCAAGAGUCUGAUCCAGCAAUUCUGUGUGCACGAUGACGUUUUUCGGAAUGUAAAGUGCUUUCAGUUGGGAAGAAAAAAAUGACGGUACCAACAGAAGAAGUGACGGCUAAAUACGUG